AUGAUGGGGAAAAUCAUUCAACGAUUUUACUGGAAAGGGAUUGUAAAGGACGUGGAGCAAUGGAUCCUGAAUUGUGAAGCAUGCCAGAGAUUUGAGAGGGUGAAGACUGUUGCCCCAGAACUGAAGCCAAUCAAAGUUGUUUCUCCAUGGUACAUGAUCGGUUGUAUCACUGCUGCAGUACAGUGGAAAGACAGUUUGGAUCGUGUGGCCACAUGUACAGCAGCAGCAGGGAUGUAGUGACUGUGGACUGUUUACCAUCGCAAACAGCCUCGCACUCUGCAUGGGUGAAGAGCCAGGUAAGUUAUGUUAUGAUCAAAAGCAAAUUCGUGAUCAUCUUUUUUCUUGUUUUGUAGCUGGAUCUCUUACUCCUUUCCCGAGCUGUGAGAGAACUCCCCUCCCAGAGGUACAUUUCUGUGAUGUGGAGGUCUACUGCACAUGCAGGAGACCAUACAGGAUUGGACUGGAGCUGCUGGUGGAAUGCGGGAGGUGUGGCGAAUGGUUCCAUGGCCAGUGUGAAGAUCUACAGCGAGAUGACCUCAUCAGUAUGGAGGAGUAUAUGUGCUCCAUUUGCAGAGUUACACACAUGGGUAAGCAUGGUAAGUAAAGGUGAAACAGAUUUAUUAUUUUGUUUUUUACUAUAUGUUUUUUUGAACAUUUUAUACUAAGCAUUCCAGCUUAGUAUAUUAUACUAACACUAAAAUUUGGUAAUGCCUGUCAUAAUUUAUAGCUAUUUACAUAUGUACAGUAGGGCAUUGUUAAUAAGGCUCAUUGUCUUCAGUGUUUAUUUUUCAUGAGCACACAACUACUUAUUUUGAAGACUUUUUUUUUUCAGGAGACCUUGAUUCUAUAUUGAGACGUUUUUAUUUGGAGAAAUAUUGCAGAUGCUUUUGCACUUUCAUUUUUAAUUGGUAUGGUAGUCUUAGUUCCCUUUCA
Long non-coding RNA from Acipenser ruthenus (sterlet), 933 nucleotides. RefSeq lists it as uncharacterized. Lineage: Eukaryota; Metazoa; Chordata; Actinopteri; Acipenseriformes; Acipenseridae. The record is from RefSeq and is a predicted model, not a curated record. The transcript is spliced from 3 exons.